CCUACGGGAGGCAGCAGUGAGGAAUAUUGGUCAAUGGCCGCAGGGCUGAACCAGCCAAGUCGCGUGAGGGAUGACGGUCCUAUGGAUUGUAAACCUCUUUUGUCAGGGAGCAAAGGGCGCCACGUGUGGCGCUUUGCGAGUACUUGAUGAAAAAGCAUCGGCUAACUCCGUGCCAGCAGCCGCGGUAAUACGGAGGAUGCGAGCGUUAUCCGGAUUUAUUGGGUUUAAAGGGUGCGCAGGCGGAAUGUCAAGUCAGCGGUAAAAUUUCGGGGCUCAACCCCGUCGUGCCGUUGAAACUGGCGUUCUUGAGUGAGCGAGAAGUAUGCGGAAUGCGUGGUGUAGCGGUGAAAUGCAUAGAUAUCACGCAGAACUCCGAUUGCGAAGGCAGCAUACCGGCGCUCAACUGACGCUCAUGCACGAAAGCGUGGGUAUCGAACAGGAUUAGAUACCCUGGUAGUC
Molecule: ribosomal RNA, 459 nt
Filed under: uncultured bacterium
Lineage: Bacteria
Description: partial 16S ribosomal RNA
Rfam family: Bacterial small subunit ribosomal RNA
Source: RNAcentral